UCUUCAUUUGCACUUUAUUUGCAAUUGCAAAAAUUCAGGCAUGCAGGGCUUACAAGUUAGAGACAAAUGGCAUCUAAACUGGCUUUCUCUUCUCUACAGGUUUCUUUCCAGAAUCUUUGGACAAUAGGUGGAGUGGCGGCAGAAAGGGGAAGAAUGGACAUGUGGACCAUUUGGCUGAUCACGUCACUCUAUAGAUGAACUUCUACCACAUUUGAGCGCCCACAUUGAAGACAAAAAUUUGGACAAAACAAAGGAAUGAAUGUUGGACAGAAGUUUCGAAGACCUCUAUGGAAAGAUAAAGCUCUCAGAGGUAUCAACCUCAUAUGAAAGCGUCCUUUAAAAGGUCGUUUUAUUAAGGCUAUGGCAAAGAAAUAAUUUUUGGAAAUGGUAGCUUUCCCAUUAGAUGGAAUGUUUAUUUUCCCUUGAUUUUAAACAGUCUACAGUGUACUUUUAUUUCCUAACUUAUUUAAUUGUCAGAACAGCCCUAUGAGCUAAGAAUUAGCAUUUCCACCCUUGUAGGAGAGCUGGUAUGUCAACCCUUGUCUCUUGAACAUGAAAAUAUAUGUUCCAAAUUAUUAUAUCAGGAAUACAGGAGCAACUCCAUGUAUUUUAAGUAAAGGAAAGUGAGACUCAAAUAUUUUAUCAAAAAAUAAAAUAGAAAACAAAGAAGCA
Molecule: long non-coding RNA, 672 nt
Filed under: Piliocolobus tephrosceles (Ugandan red Colobus)
Lineage: Eukaryota; Metazoa; Chordata; Mammalia; Primates; Cercopithecidae
Description: lncRNA (ENSPTEG00000025470.1)
Source: RNAcentral